AUGCGCGCGCCCCGGCGGCGCGGGUCUGGGUCUGGGUCUGGGGAUGUGGUGCCGGCUGCCGGCGACCGCCGGCAGUAGAGCGGUGGCCAGGCCGCUGGCCUUGCUCUGGCGAUGUGGUGGCCCAGGAGGUGGCAGGACGGUCAAGACCAGCGCGAGGGUCCUGGGCAGGGCCCGACAGAAGAAGCUAAUAAGCUUAUCUGGUCUCUUGUUUCAGUGCCUCUAGGGGAUCCACGUUCAGAAGCUGACUCUGCAGGCGAGACCAACGUUAUUUUCCCGGUGGCUGUGUUCAAAACCACCCAAAGGGUUUGAGAAAUACUUUAAGAGGAGUGGAAGGAACAAACUCAGAAACAUCAACAGCACCAAAAAAAGAGACUGGUGAACUAGAGAAUGCCGAGUCUGGAGGAGAUGGAGGCAGGAGAGGAGGGAAGCGGGAUGACGUUGCCUGGUGGAGGCGGAUGCAGAAGGGGACUUCUGCAAUCUGGCCCUUUUGGGGGCAGGCGUUGCCAUGGGAUUUUUCUACCUCUAUUUUCGAGAUCCUGGAAGAGAAAUCACUUGGAAGCACUUUGUAUAGUAUUACCUGGCCAGAGGUCUGGUGGACCAGCUGGAAAUCCUGAACAAUUUGUGCGUGUUAUUCCUGCCCCUGGGAUCUCUUCUGAAGUGAGGGGUGAAUUUAAGGGAGCCAUGCUCAUUGGUCCUCCUGGUACCGGCAAGACCCUUCUUGCCAAAGCAACUGCAGGGGAGGCCACUGUGCCCUUCAUCACUGUGAACGGGUCUGAGUUCCUGGAAAUGUUUGUUGGCGUUGGGCCAGCAAGGGGUGCAACUCUGCCACCAACGUCGUGACGUUGGCUGGCACCAAAUGCCCUGGCAUCCUGGACCCGGCCCUGAUGCGGCCUGGCCGGUUUGAUCGCCAGAUUUACAUUGGUCCCCCUGACAUCAAAGGCAGGGUCCUCCAUCUUUAAGGUCCACCUACGCCCACUGAAGCUGGACGAGAGCCUCAAUAAGGAUGUCCUGGCGAGGAAGCUGGCAGCGCUCACCCCAGGCUUCACUGAUGUCUGUUUACAUACCAAAGUUAAAAAGCUGGAAUGUUACCAAGACUGUUUCUUCUGUCCCUAGAGGGGGAUGACUCAGCAGGGCUGACUCAGCACUACCCCUCAACAGAGAUGACUUAGCUUUGCCCCUCAGCAGGGAUGACUCUGAUGACUCUGCCCCUCAGCAGGGAUUACUAAGCACUACCUUUUAACAGGGAUGGCUCAGCACUGCCCCCCGACAGAGAUGACUGAGCAGGGAUGACUCAGCACUGCACUCCAACUGAGAGGACUCAGCAGGGAUGACUCAGCACUGCCCCCCAACGGAGAUGACUCAACAGGGAUGACUCAAUGCUGCUCCUCAGCAGGGAUGACUUAGCAGGGAUGACUCAGCACUGCCCCCAACGGAGAUGACUCAACAGGAUGAUCAUGCUGCUCCAGCAGGGAUGACUUAGCAGGGAUGACUCAGCACUGCCCCUAACGGAGAUGACUCAGCAGGGAUGACUCAGCACUGCCCCCAACGGGGAUGACUCAGCAGGGAUGAUUCAGCAGAGAUGACUCAGUACUGCCCCUCAGCAGGGAUGACUCAGCAGGGAUGACCAGUAUUGCCCCUGAAUGGGGAUGACUCAGCAGGAAUGAUGCAGCAGGGAUGACUCAGCACUGCCCCUCAGCCAGGAUGACUCAGCAGGGAUGACUCAGCACUGCCCCUCAGCCAGGAUGACUCAGCAGGGAUGGCUCAGCACUGCCCCUCAGCAGGGAUGGCUCAGCACUGCCCCGCAGCAGGGAUGACUCAGCAGGGAUGGCUCAGUACUGCCUCUCAGCAGGGAUGACUAAGCAGGAAUGACUCAGCAGGGAUGACUUAGCACUAACCCCAACGGAGAUGACUCAGCAGAGGUGGCUCAGCAGGGAUGACUCAGCACUGCUCCUCAGCAGGGAUGACUCAGCAGGGAUGACUCAGGACUGCCCCCCCAACAGUGAUGACUCAGGAGGGAUCACUCAGCACUGCCCCCAACAGGUAUGGCUCAGCAGGGAUGACUCAGCACUGCCCCCCCAACGGUGAUGACUCAGCAGGGAUGACUCAGCACUGCCCCCCAACAGGUAUGGCUCAGCAGGGAUGACUCACCACUGCCCCCAACAGGGAUAACUCAGCAGGGAUGACUCAGCACUGCCCCCAACGUGGAUGGCUCAGGAGGGAUGACUCAGCACUGCCACCAACAGGGAUGGCUCAGCAGGGAUGACUCAUUACCGCCCCCCCACGGGGAUGACUCAGCAGGGAUGACUCAGCACUGCCACUCAACAGGGGUAGCUCAGUAGGGAUGACUCAGCACUGCCCCCCAAUGGGGUUGACUCAGCAGGGAUGACUCAGCACUGCCAACUGCCCCCCAACGGGGAUGACUCAGCAGGGAUGACUCAGCACUGCACUCAACAGGGGUGGCUCAGCAGGGAUGACUCAGCACUGCCCCCAACGGGGAUGACUCAGCAGGGAUGACUCGUCACUGCCCCCAACGGGGAUGACUCAGCACUGCCCCUCUACAGGGAUGACUCAGCAGGGAUGACUCAGCACUGCCCCUCAGCAGGGAUGACUCAGCAGUGAUAACUCAGCACUGCCCCUCAGCAAGGAUGACUCAGCAGGGAUGAUUCAGCAGAGAUAACUUGGGGAUGACUCUGACUGCCCCUCAGCAUGGAUGAGUCUGUUUUGCUCCAAUGGAAGCAUCCAUAGUGUCCAUCAGCAGGUGAAUGGCUAAAGUGGUAUAUACUGUAGUCAAAUUCUGCUAUAAAAAGGAAUAAAGUAUUGAUGCAUGCCACAACAUGGGUGAACCUGGAAAAUACUGUUCUAAAUGCAAGAGGCCAGGAACAAAAGGCCACAUAAUAUAUGUUCCCAUUUAUGUGAAAUGUGCAGAAUAAUAAUAAAAAUGUAUAGAAUAGCAAAUCUGUAGGGACAGACAUGAAGUGAGUGGUUGCCAGAAGUGGAAAUGAGAGUUAACUAUAAAUAGCAUAGGGUACCUUACAGAGAUGAUGGAAAUGUCCUAAAACUAGAUUAUGGCAAUGGUUGCACCACAUGAUCCGUUUAUUAAAAAUCGUUGAUGUGUGUGUGUAAAAUGGAUGGAUUUUAUGAUUUAUAAAUUAUACCUUAAUAAAGGUUAACAAAAAAUGUGGCU
RNAcentral lists this small RNA (3184 nucleotides) under Pongo abelii (Sumatran orangutan). RNAcentral describes it as "processed transcript". Lineage: Eukaryota; Metazoa; Chordata; Mammalia; Primates; Hominidae. The record is from RNAcentral.